RNAcentral lists this ribosomal RNA (497 nucleotides) under uncultured bacterium. RNAcentral describes it as "partial 16S ribosomal RNA". It matches the Rfam family "Bacterial small subunit ribosomal RNA", at positions 28 to 507 of the family's 1533-position model. The record is from RNAcentral.
GAUGAACGCUGGCGGCGUGCCUAAUACAUGCAAGUCGAGCGAACAGACGAGGAGCUUGCUCCUCUGACGUUAGCGGCGGACGGGUGAGUAACACGUGGAUAACCUACCUAUAAGACUGGGAUAACUUCGGGAAACCGGAGCUAAUACCGGAUAAUAUAUUGAACCGCAUGGUUCAAUAGUGAAAGACGGUUUUGCUGUCACUUAUAGAUGGAUCCGCGCCGCAUUAGCUAGUUGGUAAGGUAACGGCUUACCAAGGCAACGAUGCGUAGCCGACCUGAGAGGGUGAUCGGCCACACUGGAACUGAGACACGGUCCAGACUCCUACGGGAGGCAGCAGUAGGGAAUCUUCCGCAAAGGGCGAAAGCCUGACGGAGCAACGCCGCGUGAGUGAUGAAGGUCUUCGGAUCGUAAAACUCUGUUAUUAGGGAAGAACAAAUGUGUAAGUAACUAUGCACGUCUUGACGGUACCUAAUCAGAAAGCCACGACUAACUACGUG